This 76-nucleotide transfer RNA is filed under the name Deltaproteobacteria bacterium. RNAcentral describes it as "tRNA-Val". It matches the Rfam family "tRNA". From Rfam's summary of the family: Transfer RNA (tRNA) molecules are approximately 80 nucleotides in length. Lineage: Bacteria; Pseudomonadati; Myxococcota; Myxococcia. The record is from RNAcentral. RNAcentral also lists the same sequence under 2 other names.
GGGACGCUAGCUCAGUUGGGAGAGCGCUGCCUUCACACGGCAGAGGUCACUGGUUCGAGCCCAGUGCGUCCCACCA